ACGCUCUGGUUUCUCUUCAGAUCACACAAAUCUUUCCCCCCUUACUAAAGGUUUCCGUGGAGAAGAACAACCCUGAGCCUUAACCGGGUCUUACCUCAGUCUUUGCGCCAGCGGGGCUG
RNAcentral lists this small nuclear RNA (119 nucleotides) under Meriones unguiculatus (Mongolian gerbil). RNAcentral's name for it is "U5 spliceosomal RNA (ENSMUGG00000013781.1)". It matches the Rfam family "U5 spliceosomal RNA". From Rfam's summary of the family: U5 RNA is a component of both types of known spliceosome. The precise function of this molecule is unknown, though it is known that the 5' loop is required for splice site selection and p220 binding, and that both the 3' stem-loop and the Sm site are important for Sm protein binding and cap methylation. Lineage: Eukaryota; Metazoa; Chordata; Mammalia; Rodentia; Muridae. The record is from RNAcentral.